GACGAACGCUGGCGGCGUGCUUAACACAUGCAAGUCGAACGGAAAGGCCCUGCUUUUGUGGGGUGCUCGAGUGGCGAACGGGUGAGUAACACGUGAGUAACCUGCCCUUGACUUUGGGAUAACUUCAGGAAACUGGGGCUAAUACCGGAUAGGAGCUCCUGCUGCAUGGUGGGGGUUGGAAAGUUUCGGCGGUUGGGGAUGGACUUGCGGCUUAUCAGCUUGUUGGUGGGGUAGUGGCUUACCAAGGCUUUGACGGGUAGCCGGCCUGAGAGGGUGACCGGCCACAUUGGGACUGAGAUACGGCCCAGACUCCUACGGGAGGCAGCAGUGGGGAAUAUUGCACAAUGGGCGGAAGCCUGAUGCAGCAACGCCGCGUGCGGGAUGACGGCCUUCGGGUUGUAAACCGCUUUCGCCUGUGACGAAGCGUGAGUUACGGUAAUGGGUAAAGAAGCACCGGCUAACUACGUG
Molecule: ribosomal RNA, 468 nt
Filed under: uncultured bacterium
Lineage: Bacteria
Description: partial 16S ribosomal RNA
Rfam family: Bacterial small subunit ribosomal RNA
Source: RNAcentral